AUGGACGUUAAGACGGCUUUCCUCAAUGGAGAGUUGAAGGAGGAAAUUUACAUGGAUCAGCCAGAUGGUUUUGUAGUACCUGGUCAAGAAGGAAAUGUGUGCAAGUUAUUCAAGUCUUUAUAUGGCCUUAAACAAGCUCCUAAGGAGUGGCAUGAGAAGUUUGAAAGAACAUUAACUGUUGCCGGCUUUGUAGUAAAUGAUGGUGACAAGUGUGUGUACUAUCGCCAUGGUGGGGGCGAAGGAGUUAUUCUUUGUCUGUAUGUCGACGACAUAUUUAUCUUUGGAACCAAACUUGAUUUAAUCAAGGAGGUUAAGGAUUUCUUAUCUCGCUGUUUUGAGAUGAAGGAUCUAGGAGUAGCUGAUGUUAUCUUAAACAUCAAGCUGUUGAGAGAUGAGAAUGGUGGGAUCACACUGCUUCAGUCUCACUAUGAGGAAAAGGUCUUGAGUCGUUUUGGGAAUAGCGACUGCACGCCUUCUCCAACUCCAUAUGAUGCUAGUGUGUUGCUUCGGAAGAAUCGACGGAUUGCUAGAGAUCAUCUGAGGUAUUCCCAGAUUAUUGGCUCACUUAUGUAUUUGGCGAGUGCCACGAGGCCUGACAUCUCUUUUGCUGUGAGCAAGCUGAGUCGGUUUGUGUCAAAACCGGGAGAUGAUCAUUGGCGUGCGCUUGAGAGAGUUAUGCGCUACUUGAAGGGCACUGCGAGCUAUGGGAUUCACUACACCGGGUAUCCAAGGGUACUGGAGGGUUAUAGUGACUCGAACAGGAUAUCUGAUGCUGAUGAGAUUAAGGCCACAAGUGGUUAUGUUUUUACACUUGGUGGUGGCGCUAUUUCCUGGAAGUCUUGCAAGCAUACCAUCUUAACAAGGUCAACUAUGGAAGCAGAACUCAUAGCAUUAGACACUGCCACUGUUGAAGCAGAGUGGCUUCGUGAGCUAUUGAUGGACUUACCUAUGUUUGAAAAACCAAUGCCCCCUAUCCUGAUGAACUGUGAUAAUCAAGCAUGUGAAGAGGAGAUUAAAAUCUGUCAGGAAACUGAGGAACUCCGGAGUUAUUACUUUGGAUUAUAUCCAAACGUAGAAAAACUUGGCAGAUCCCUUCAUAAAGGGUCUAUCACUUAA
RNAcentral lists this ribosomal RNA (1116 nucleotides) under Triticum aestivum (bread wheat). Its description in RNAcentral is "partial small subunit ribosomal RNA". Lineage: Eukaryota; Viridiplantae; Streptophyta; Magnoliopsida; Poales; Poaceae. The record is from RNAcentral.